GCAGAGGUGGUUCAGUGGUAGAAUUCCCGCCUUCUACGCAGGAGACCUGGGUUCGAUUCCUGGCCCAUGCA
RNAcentral lists this transfer RNA (71 nucleotides) under Loxodonta africana (African savanna elephant). It matches the Rfam family "tRNA". Rfam says of the family: Transfer RNA (tRNA) molecules are approximately 80 nucleotides in length. Their secondary structure includes four short double-helical elements and three loops (D, anti-codon, and T loops). The record is from Rfam by way of RNAcentral. Lineage: Eukaryota; Metazoa; Chordata; Mammalia; Proboscidea; Elephantidae.